CGCGGGUUCGAGCCCCGUCUCUCGCGCCUUUUGGCAUGCCUUCUAGCCUUGGCCCGAAGGGGCAAACCCGGAUCUGCGAGAUCCGGGCCGAUGCAGGCAUGCCGGAGGAAGCCUGCUGCGGCCAACGGCGACCACAUGAUUUGAUCACCUGCGACUGGCCGUCGUCCGGCAAACAUCAUUCACAUUCACUAGUCUGGAUAGACAGUGAACUGCGUGUUUUCUGACAUCGUAAAGAGGAGAUCGAUCCGAGUUGGGUCGUGCAGCACAUUGUUGCGCGGAUCCUUCAUUAUCUCCGGAUCAUUUUCGGCGCUCGCUUUCAGCCGUGAGGCUGAACGCGAGUUGUAAAAUGAUCCUUUUAGCGAAGCUUGACCGCCUCGCUAUCGGAACGAUCUUACGAAGCAAGCUGGUCUUUCUAGUCAAUGUCCGGCUGUGAGAAUAGCGCUCGUCGAGGGCGCGUGCCGCAAGGCGGUUCUUACAGACAGCAUUCUGCCGAGUGUGUGGACAUUGAUAAUGAGAGCAAUCAAGUGCCUUAAGGGUGUUCGGUGGAUGCCUUGGCGCUGAGAGGCGAUGAAGGACGUGCUACGCUGCGAUAAGCCGUGGGGAGCUGCGAAGAAGCUUUGAUCCGCGGAUUUCCGAAUGGGG
RNAcentral lists this unclassified non-coding RNA (642 nucleotides) under uncultured Bradyrhizobium sp. Its description in RNAcentral is "partial 16S-23S ribosomal RNA intergenic spacer". The stretch from base 519 to 642 matches the Rfam family "Bacterial large subunit ribosomal RNA", at positions 1 to 123 of the family's 2925-position model. The record is from RNAcentral. Lineage: Bacteria; Pseudomonadati; Pseudomonadota; Alphaproteobacteria; Hyphomicrobiales; Nitrobacteraceae.